AAUGAAAUGGCUGAUAAAAGUAAUAAAUUGUAAAUUUAUAAAUGAUUAAAAAUCUUUCAUUA
This 62-nucleotide transfer RNA is filed under the name Lachesilla sp. LaspMLY. RNAcentral describes it as "tRNA-Tyr". The record is from RNAcentral. Lineage: Eukaryota; Metazoa; Arthropoda; Insecta; Psocodea; Lachesillidae.